RNAcentral lists this ribosomal RNA (45 nucleotides) under Lazicana suanetica. RNAcentral describes it as "partial 5.8S ribosomal RNA". Lineage: Eukaryota; Metazoa; Mollusca; Gastropoda; Stylommatophora; Hygromiidae. The record is from RNAcentral.
UGGCGGCCUCGGGUCCAUCCGGAGGCCACGCCCGUCUGAGGGUCG